This 650-nucleotide ribosomal RNA is filed under the name uncultured bacterium. RNAcentral describes it as "bacterial SSU rRNA". It matches the Rfam family "Bacterial small subunit ribosomal RNA", at positions 56 to 754 of the family's 1533-position model. The record is from RNAcentral.
UGCAGUCGACGCUCACUUCGGUGAGAGUGGCAGACGGGUGAGUAACACGUGGGAACCUACCUAGGGGUACGGAAUAACUCAGGGAAACUUGUGCUAAUACCGUAUACGACCUCAGGGUGAAAGAUUUAUCGCCCCUAGAUGGGCCCGCGUUGGAUUAGCUAGUUGGUGAGGUAAAAGCUCACCAAGGCGACGAUCCAUAGCUGGUCUGAGAGGAUGAUCAGCCACACUGGGACUGAGACACGGCCCAGACUCCUACGGGAGGCAGCAGUAGGGAAUCUUGGACAAUGGGCGAAAGCCUGAUCCAGCCAUGCCGCGUGUGUGAUGAAGGCCUUAGGGUUGUAAAGCACUUUCGCCAGGGAAGAUAAUGACGGUACCUGGAUAAGAAGCCCCGGCUAACUUCGUGCCAGCAGCCGCGGUAAUACGAAGGGGGCUAGCGUUGUUCGGAAUUACUGGGCGUAAAGCGCACGUAGGCGGCAUUCCAAGUUGGAGGUGAAAUCCCCGGGCUUAACCUGGGAACUGCCUCCAAAACUGGGAAGCUCGAGUCCGAGAGAGGUGAGUGGAAUUUCCAGUGUAGAGGUGAAAUUCGUAGAUAUUGGAAAGAACACCAGUGGCGAAGGCGGCUCACUGGCUCGGUACUGACGCUGAGGAGC